Molecule: ribosomal RNA, 434 nt
Filed under: uncultured bacterium
Lineage: Bacteria
Description: partial 16S ribosomal RNA
Rfam family: Bacterial small subunit ribosomal RNA
Source: RNAcentral
AGCGAACGCUGGCGGCAGGCUUAACACAUGCAAGUCGAGCGGGCACUUUCGGGUGUCAGCGGCGGACGGGUGAGUAACGCGUGGGAACGUGCCCUCUGGUUCGGAAUAACUCAGGGAAACUUGAGCUAAUACCGGAUACGCCCUUUUGGGGAAAGGCUUGCUGCCGGAGGAUCGGCCCGCGUCUGAUUAGCUAGUUGGUGAGGUAACAGCUCACCAAGGCGACGAUCAGUAGCUGGUCUGAGAGGAUGAUCAGCCACACUGGGACUGAGACACGGCCCAGACUCCUACGGGAGGCAGCAGUGGGGAAUAUUGGACAAUGGGCGCAAGCCUGAUCCAGCCAUGCCGCGUGAGUGAUGAAGGCCUUAGGGUUGUAAAGCUCUUUUAUCCGGGACGAUAAUGACGGGACCGGAGGAAUAAGCCCCGGCUAACUUCGU